This 765-nucleotide ribosomal RNA is filed under the name uncultured Streptococcus sp. RNAcentral's name for it is "bacterial SSU rRNA". It matches the Rfam family "Bacterial small subunit ribosomal RNA", at positions 28 to 776 of the family's 1533-position model. Lineage: Bacteria; Bacillati; Bacillota; Bacilli; Lactobacillales; Streptococcaceae. The record is from RNAcentral.
GACGAACGCUGGCGGCGUGCCUAAUACAUGCAAGUAGAACGCUGAAGAGAGGAGCUUGCUCUUCUUGGAUGAGUUGCGAACGGGUGAGUAACGCGUAGGUAACCUGCCUUGUAGCGGGGGAUAACUAUUGGAAACGAUAGCUAAUACCGCAUAACAAUGAAUGACACAUGUCAUUUAUUUGAAAGGGGCAAUUGCUCCACUACAAGAUGGACCUGCGUUGUAUUAGCUAGUAGGUGAGGUAACGGCUCACCUAGGCGACGAUACAUAGCCGACCUGAGAGGGUGAUCGGCCACACUGGGACUGAGACACGGCCCAGACUCCUACGGGAGGCAGCAGUAGGGAAUCUUCGGCAAUGGGGGCAACCCUGACCGAGCAACGCCGCGUGAGUGAAGAAGGUUUUCGGAUCGUAAAGCUCUGUUGUAAGUCAAGAACGAGUGUGAGAGUGGAAAGUUCACACUGUGACGGUAGCUUACCAGAAAGGGACGGCUAACUACGUGCCAGCAGCCGCGGUAAUACGUAGGUCCCGAGCGUUGUCCGGAUUUAUUGGGCGUAAAGCGAGCGCAGGCGGUUUGAUAAGUCUGAAGUUAAAGGCUGUGGCUCAACCAUAGUUCGCUUUGGAAACUGUCAAACUUGAGUGCAGAAGGGGAGAGUGGAAUUCCAUGUGUAGCGGUGAAAUGCGUAGAUAUAUGGAGGAACACCGGUGGCGAAAGCGGCUCUCUGGCUUGUAACUGACGCUGAGGCUCGAAAGCGUGGGGAGCAAACAGG